CCCUUAGAUGUUCUGGGCUGCACGCGCGCUACACUGAAGCUAUCAACACGUUUUCCCUCCCUGAGAAGGGCGGGUAACCUUUUGAAUCAGCUUCGUGGUAGGGAUCGGGGCUUGCAAUUGUUCCCCGUGAACCAGGAAUUCCUAGUAGACGCGAGUCAUAAGCUCGCAUCGAUUAAGUCCCUGCCCUUUGUAUACACCGCCCGUCGCUACUACCGAUUGAACGUUUUAGUGAGGCAUUUGGACCGACGCAUCUCAGUUUAACCGCUGGUUUGUGUUGGAAAGACUUCCAAACUUGAGCGUUUAGAGGAAGUAAAAGUCGUAACA
Molecule: ribosomal RNA, 324 nt
Filed under: uncultured eukaryote
Lineage: Eukaryota
Description: partial 18S ribosomal RNA
Rfam family: Eukaryotic small subunit ribosomal RNA
Source: RNAcentral